UUGGGGUAUCGCCAAGCGGUAAGGCAGCGGUUUUUGGUACCGCCAUUCCUAGGUUCGAAUCCUAGUACCCCAGCCA
RNAcentral lists this transfer RNA (76 nucleotides) under Rhodobacter capsulatus SB 1003. Its description in RNAcentral is "tRNA-Gln". It matches the Rfam family "tRNA". From Rfam's summary of the family: Transfer RNA (tRNA) molecules are approximately 80 nucleotides in length. Their secondary structure includes four short double-helical elements and three loops (D, anti-codon, and T loops). The record is from RNAcentral. Lineage: Bacteria; Pseudomonadati; Pseudomonadota; Alphaproteobacteria; Rhodobacterales.